Molecule: long non-coding RNA, 1368 nt
Filed under: Salvia miltiorrhiza (redroot sage)
Lineage: Eukaryota; Viridiplantae; Streptophyta; Magnoliopsida; Lamiales; Lamiaceae
Description: long non-coding RNA (SMIL_LNC004854)
Source: RNAcentral
UCUAAUGCUUGUUUAUGACAUGUUUAAUGUGUCUUUACAUUUAAUUUGUUUAUUGCACUCAUGUACAGGUGUUUCCCGUAAGAGAAAAGUCAAUGAAUCGACCAAGCAGAAUGUUGGUGUGGUGACUGGUGGAGGUGAAGACGUUCCGGCAGCUGCUCCAAAAAAAACAAGGCAUGAAAAGAGAAAGGAAGCCCUUGUCAACUACAAGCAGCUUGUGGUGAAGCCUGCGGAAGCCUACGCAUCGUUGUUCACAAGAACAACAUCUUGUGCUCUUUUUAAGGCUAUAGGUCACAAAUUGAAUACUUGACCUACGUAUGGCUUGACAGUAUCAUCACAAAUUGGAAUAUGUAACUGGUGAAUGUCAUUCCCUGCUCCAUUUUGAAUACCGUCUGUCGUGGACAAAUUAACGGAGUGAACGAAAGCACAAUUUGAAGCACAAUUUAUGAUGAAUAAGAAGAAGUGAAUUUCACUUAUAAAAUAUAAGAUAUACAAGCAGUAGCUUCUAAAUGGCCAGAUAUGAUUCGUCUGCAUAUUCAAUAUGUGGUUUACUUAACAUCAUUUAACAUGAAUUAUUGCUGUACAUAUAUGGCAAAUAAUGUAUCUUUUAAUUAGCCACAUAGUUCAUAUUAUGUGAAUCCACUGAAUUUUUACUGAUUCAUGCUAGUUCAUGAAUGAUUCAUUCGAUUCGAAAAUGAUGAAUUAUAAAUGAAUGCAUGAUGAAUUAUACGUAUUAGAUGCAUGUGUCUUCAUAAUUCGUACGAAAUCAACAUUCUAACAAUAUAUUACUUCAUGAAAUACACACUGCAAUUAAAUUCUAUUAUACAUUUCGAAAGAGUGAAACAUUCCGACAUAUAAUAGUUCAUACUAUUCCGACAAACUAAUAUUGAUAUGGCUUAAUUUAUACUGGUUCAUGCUAGUUCAGGGAUGAGACAUAUCAGUAAUUGUUCUUCCCCAUAAUUCGUACCAAUUCACCAUGAUACCAAUACAUUAUCUCAUGAAAUACACAUUGCAAUUCAAUUCUAUUAUACAUUUCGAAAAACUCAAUCAUAAACACAUCAAAAUAACAAAAGAAGAACAAUUUUCAUAGACAUGAAAUUUAUGAGGGAAAAAUUUAAUCGACAAUAAUCGUUAAUAAACGUUUUCAAUGGGAUUGGAAAAACACGUGGAAUAGAGAAUAGAUUAGAGAGAAUUGUAUAUAGAUUAAGAAUAAAAUCUGACAUAUGAAGAAAAAAAUCAUCACAUACCGUUGUCUUCCAUAAUAUUUCUGGGAUAUUGAGAAGGUCUGACGUGAAGAAAAUCAGUUUCUUUUGUUUUACGGGUGAUUUAGGUUUAGAAAGAGAAAAUAGAUGUUUAGAGAGAAUAAGAUAC